This 232-nucleotide long non-coding RNA is filed under the name Mytilus galloprovincialis (Mediterranean mussel). Lineage: Eukaryota; Metazoa; Mollusca; Bivalvia; Mytilida; Mytilidae. The record is from RNAcentral.
GGGGCUCAAUUAAGCAGAGGAAGUUCCCUUUUUUUUUGGAAUCUUUUAUGAUAUCGGAAAUUCGUUACCGGCUGAAUCAGGUGUUGGAUCAUUAUACCCCCGCUUUAAAAAAAGGGGGGGUAUACUGUUUUACCUCUGUCUGUCAGUCGUCAGUCCGUCCAUCAGUCCGUCCGUCAGUCAGUCCGUCCCAUGAAACUUUCGUCACAUUUUUCUCAGGAACUACACAUCCACC